RNAcentral lists this transfer RNA (74 nucleotides) under Trachymyrmex cornetzi. It matches the Rfam family "tRNA". Rfam says of the family: Transfer RNA (tRNA) molecules are approximately 80 nucleotides in length. Their secondary structure includes four short double-helical elements and three loops (D, anti-codon, and T loops). The record is from Rfam by way of RNAcentral. Lineage: Eukaryota; Metazoa; Arthropoda; Insecta; Hymenoptera; Formicidae.
GCCUCGAUAGUCUAAAGAUUUAAAGACAUUCGCACAGAAUGCAAGAGAUCCGGGUUCGAUUCCCGGCUGAGGUA